This 499-nucleotide ribosomal RNA is filed under the name uncultured bacterium. RNAcentral describes it as "bacterial SSU rRNA". It matches the Rfam family "Bacterial small subunit ribosomal RNA", at positions 15 to 507 of the family's 1533-position model. The record is from RNAcentral.
GAUCAUGGCUCAGAUUGAACGCUGGCGGCAUGCCUUACACAUGCAAGUCGAACGGCAGCACGGGAGCUUGCUCCUGGUGGCGAGUGGCGAACGGGUGAGUAAUACAUCGGAACGUACCCUGAAGUGGGGGAUAACGUAGCGAAAGUUACGCUAAUACCGCAUAUUCUGUGAGCAGGAAGGAGGGGGAUCGCAAGACCUCUUGCUUUAGGAGCGGCCGAUGUCGGAUUAGCUAGUUGGUGAGGUAAAGGCUCACCAAGGCGACGAUCCGUAGCGGGUCUGAGAGGAUGAUCCGCCACACUGGGACUGAGACACGGCCCAGACUCCUACGGGAGGCAGCAGUGGGGAAUUUUGGACAAUGGGCGCAAGCCUGAUCCAGCCAUGCCGCGUGAGUGAAGAAGGCCUUCGGGUUGUAAAGCUCUUUCGGUGGGGAAGAAAUUGCUUCGGUUAAUACCUGGAGUAGAUGACGGUACCCGCAUAUGAAGCACCGGCUAACUACGUG